UACGAGAGGCCCAAACGUUAUUCGGAUUUACUGGGCUUAAAGAGUUCGUAGGCGGCGCAGAAAGUGGGGUGUGAAAGCCCUCGGCUCAACCGAGGAAUUGCGCUCCAAACUCCUGUGCUUGAGGAACCUAGAGGUGAGCGGAACUGAUGGUGGAGCGGUGAAAUGCGUUGAUAUCAUCAGGAACACCGGAGGCGAAGGCGGCUCACUGGGGGUUUUCUGACGCUGAGGAACGAAAGCCAGGGGAGCGAAC
Molecule: ribosomal RNA, 250 nt
Filed under: uncultured bacterium
Lineage: Bacteria
Description: partial 16S ribosomal RNA
Rfam family: Bacterial small subunit ribosomal RNA
Source: RNAcentral